CUUUGGAAGUGUCUCUCGCGCAAACUAUUCAGUUUAGAAAAAAAUGAUAUUGGAAACCUCAAUAUCAUUUUUGAAUACCUAUCCAUAGUAACCCCACACGUAUGGGUUUGAUGAAAAAAAAAAUUUAAGUGUACGGUUUAUGACGUAUUAAAAAAAAAACUACUUACCAAAUCUUGUUCAAACCAAUUUUCGGUGGAAGUUUGCAUGGUAAUGUACAUCAUAUAUUUUAUAAGGUCUAUCAUUCUCUUAUUUUAGAAGUUACAGGGGGGGGGACACACAUUUUACCACUUUGGAAGUGUCUCUCGCGCAAACUAUUCAGUUUAGAAAAAAAUUAUAUUAGAAACCUCAAUAUCAUUUUUGAAGACCUCUCCAUAGAUACCC
This is a long non-coding RNA of Cydia fagiglandana, 381 nucleotides long. RefSeq lists it as uncharacterized. NCBI's taxonomy places the organism in Eukaryota, Metazoa, Arthropoda, Insecta, Lepidoptera, Tortricidae. The transcript has 2 exons. The record is from RefSeq and is a predicted model, not a curated record.